Molecule: ribosomal RNA, 465 nt
Filed under: Vreelandella stevensii
Lineage: Bacteria; Pseudomonadati; Pseudomonadota; Gammaproteobacteria; Oceanospirillales; Halomonadaceae
Description: partial 16S ribosomal RNA
Rfam family: Bacterial small subunit ribosomal RNA
Source: RNAcentral
CCUACGGGGGGCAGCAGUGGGGAAUAUUGGACAAUGGGCGAAAGCCUGAUCCAGCCAUGCCGCAUGUGUGAAGAAGGCCUUCGGGUUGUAAAGCACUUUCAGUGGGGAAGAAAGCCUUGGGGCUAAUACCCUCGAGGAAGGACAUCACCCACAGAAGAAGCACCGGCUAACUCCGUGCCAGCAGCCGCGGUAAUACGGAGGGUGCGAGCGUUAAUCGGAAUUACUGGGCGUAAAGCGCGCGUAGGCGGUCUGAUAAGCCGGUUGUGAAAGCCCCGGGCUCAACCUGGGAACGGCAUCCGGAACUGUCAGGCUAGAGUGCAGGAGAGGAAGGUAGAAUUCCCGGUGUAGCGGUGAAAUGCGUAGAGAUCGGGAGGAAUACCAGUGGCGAAGGCGGCCUUCUGGACUGACACUGACGCUGAGGUGCGAAAGCGUGGGUAGCAAACAGGAUUAGAUACCCGUGUAGUC